GUGUCAGCAGCCGCGGUAAUACGUAGGGUGCAAGCGUUGUCCGGAAUUACUGGGCGUAAAGAGUUCGUAGGCGGUUUGUCGCGUCGUUUGUGAAAACUCACAGCUCAACUGUGAGCCUGCAGGCGAUACGGGCAGACUUGAGUACUGCAGGGGAGACUGGAAUUCCUGGUGUAGCGGUGAAAUGCGCAGAUAUCAGGAGGAACACCGGUGGCGAAGGCGGGUCUCUGGGCAGUAACUGACGCUGAGGAACGAAAGCGUGGGUAGCAAACAGGAUUAGAUACCCUGGUAGUCC
RNAcentral lists this ribosomal RNA (292 nucleotides) under uncultured bacterium. Its description in RNAcentral is "partial 16S ribosomal RNA". It matches the Rfam family "Bacterial small subunit ribosomal RNA", at positions 505 to 796 of the family's 1533-position model. The record is from RNAcentral.